Long non-coding RNA from Alnus glutinosa, 572 nucleotides. RefSeq lists it as uncharacterized. The record is from RefSeq and is a predicted model, not a curated record. NCBI's taxonomy places the organism in Eukaryota, Viridiplantae, Streptophyta, Magnoliopsida, Fagales, Betulaceae. The transcript has 5 exons.
ACUCUCUCUCUCUCUCUCUCCUUUGAAUUUUCAUACAAAAAUCAUGAUCUAUGAAGAUCUAACCGUCCAAACUCAAAUUCGAUUUCAGUAACAUGAUUUACAAAGCCCGAUCUACGUUUUUCACCGAUCGUUUUGAGGCUUAAUGUUAUUUGAAGCUUGUAAAGAUUCUCCAAACACCAAGUAUUAUUUGGUAAUGCAUUGCAUGGUGGUGUCUAAGAGACCUAGUACUUAAUAUCAGCGCAGCCAAGACAUUGAUGAUUUGGUUGCAGGUUCUGAGGAUAUAGAUAUUGACUCGUCCACCUAGCGUUUGGGAUGCUAUGAUUGGAGCAUAUCGCGACAGUCAUAAGUCGCGGACUCAAGGGUAGUCUGUAUUUUGGGGACUCAAGAUGGCCAAUAUAUGGCUCACAGGAUCUUCUCCACAAGGAAACAAGAGCUCAAGAUCACCAACGGUACUCACAAUAUCUUUUCCACAAGGAAAUAACAUUUCAUGGCAGAGACCUUACCAUUUCAACUACCUAGCCUCAUAUCCUACUGUAAUAUCUUGUCUAUAAAUUUAUUUUUUUAUUUUUUAA